Fukomys damarensis (Damara mole-rat) is the source of this 311-nucleotide long non-coding RNA. RefSeq lists it as uncharacterized. NCBI's taxonomy places the organism in Eukaryota, Metazoa, Chordata, Mammalia, Rodentia, Bathyergidae. The transcript has 3 exons. The record is from RefSeq and is a predicted model, not a curated record.
GUGCCAUUCCUUCUAUGAGUUCUGGAAAAUAUUCCCCGUGUUUUAACUUGAUUGCUACAAAGUGGAAUGGGAGCCAUGGAUUUAAGAGCAUGGAAAACUUUCAGUUCUUUGAAUUCACAAUGUUUCCUAGAAGCUUUCACAAAGAAUAUGAUGCAUCAAAAUGAACGAGAGCACGAUAUACUGGGUAGAGAAGCAAGUGGUGCAAAGCAUCUCUGCACAGCAGGAAAAGGAGACAAUUGCCAAGUGUAUUGCAGAUCUACAGCUGCUUGCAAAGAAGGCUGAAGCACAACCAAUUAUGUAAAUGCAUCUCU